RNAcentral lists this small RNA (211 nucleotides) under Pseudomonas lurida. Its description in RNAcentral is "Pseudomonas sRNA P29". The record is from RNAcentral. Lineage: Bacteria; Pseudomonadati; Pseudomonadota; Gammaproteobacteria; Pseudomonadales; Pseudomonadaceae.
AAACUACAAGGGGAGCCGAAGCUCCCCCAGAAGUAGUUGCGUGCUCUAUUUUUAUUAUUGAUUUCGGGCUUCUUGUUUUUGUUGAUCGCCCUCGCCAUGAAGCUUGACCUUCAUGACACUCCCAAUCGGGAGUCAAGAGCAAACGGAUUGCUUUGGUCGCUGUGUUGCUGAUCUACGAUCCAACCAGUUCAGGCUCUGCCUUAGGGCAGUU